CCUACGGGAGGCAGCAGUGAGGAAUAUUGGUCAAUGGGCGGAAGCCUGAACCAGCCAAGUCGCGUGAGGGAAUAAGGCCCUACGGGUCGUAAACCUCUUUUGCCGGGGAGCAAGGGCGGGGACGUGUCCCGGCCCGGAGAGUACCCGGAGAAAAGGCAUGGGCCAACUCCGUGCCAGCAGCGGCGGUAUUACGGAGGAUGGGAGGGUUAUCCGGAUUUAUUGGGUUAAAGGGGUGCGUGGGCGGGCUUUUAAGUCAGCGGUAAAAAGUCGGGGGUAAACCCCGUCCGGCCGUUGAAACUGGGGGCCUUGAGUGGGCGGGAAGAAGGCGGAAUGCGUGGUGUAGCGGUGAAAUGCAUAGAUAUCACGCAGAACCCCGAUUGCGAAGGCAGCCUUCCGGCGCCCUACUGACGCUGAGGCACGAAGGUGCGGGGAUCGAACAGGAUUAGAUACCCCUGUAGUC
Molecule: ribosomal RNA, 460 nt
Filed under: uncultured bacterium
Lineage: Bacteria
Description: partial 16S ribosomal RNA
Rfam family: Bacterial small subunit ribosomal RNA
Source: RNAcentral